CCGGAUUACUGAAAGAAAUCCAGGACAUGUUGAUCUUGCUUCGUAGUACAGGCCUCAGGUCUGCUGAAUUGUUGUCUCAGCUUCACUGUGCUCACCUCCAAGCCUUCCAGAUCUAGCCAGCUGGCCUCACCAUUCAGUCCUCCUCCCACGGCACCCUGCUUCAUAAUGUCUCCGCGUCCAGCCAGCUCUUCCUUGGCUCCUCUGCUUGUCUACUCCAGUGUCUCCUUCUCGGAUCUUCUGCCCCGGUUUCCCUGCGCUCCCCUGAGCUCCCUCGCCAUCCUAUUCCCCAGUACCUUGCCAUCCUAGUUUCUGCCCCUGUGUCCCUCGCCAUCCUAGGUUUUGCUUUUGAAUCCCUGGCUAUCCUUAUUUUGGCUCCUGAGUUCCUCGCCAUUCUAUGUUUGAGUUUGUUGGUCAAUAAAUCUGUUUUAUGUUUUGAGCUUUGCAUUUGAAUCCGCUCUGUCCAUCGUAACAACAUAGCAAACUAAUCCGAAUUUUAAAUUUCAAAAUUGUUUUGUUGUUCAACUAGGUCUAUACAUUUGUUUUUCUAGAACAGUGAUGGGGUAGCGCCCUUUAAGCAUAUAGUAUUUCUAGUGAUCGUAAGCUACUUACAUUAUCUGGAUUGAGAAAAUGAGAGAUUGUAGCAGUAAUGUAAGUAAUAAUUUCAAACUGUUAACAAUUGUCCUCUGAAGCCAAAUAGUUCACCUUGUAUAUAUUUAGCAUUGCUCCCAUAACUGCACCAUUUGAAUUUUACAUCUAGUUAAUUAUGUGCAUGAAGUAACUGUGCUGGGUGCUGACAGGUUUAACAAUGCACCGUCUAACUAGACUGGAUCUCAUCCACAGAAACCACAGGCAGCUCAAUGUCAACAGGGACAACAACAAAAGGAACUACAGGCAGCUCAAUGCCAACCCUGACCACUACAGGGACAACAACAAAAGGGAGGAGGGGCCUGAGGGGAGGGACAACGAGGGCGUGGUUUACAGGUAAUUUGCAUAUGAUUUGCAUACUGUGAGAGACUGCACCUCCACAGGCAUCCUCACAGAUUACCUAUAUCUGCAAUGGCUUCCACAAGUUCACCUGGAACCUCCAAAUCUAAGAUAUACAAGAUCUUUUCUUGGAGGGGGACCAUGACAGAGUGACAGAAGAGUCUGCCAGUGGAGUACUUUUACCACCCAUCCAGUGCCCUCUGAGGCUGCAGACUAUGGCAGAACUGAGGGCAGCCAUUUACCCUAUGACUAACUCCUAGUACAAUGGCGGAUAGCUUUGCAAGACUGCACUUAACUAUGUGAUUCUUCACACAUAAACAUGGCAGGAUAACACAGGAAAACCAUUUUGUUGUUUAAAAUGACACAUACCACUACUACUUUAUAUGUAGUACUGAUUUUAAUCCUUAACAGUUUUUGAAAUGACAUGCAUUUACAGUAUGGACUCCAGCAAAACAGUUAAAUCUGUACCUUUUCAAUGAAUAACAAAUAAAUAUAUUCAAGUAAGAA
RNA transcript from Perca fluviatilis (European perch), 1491 nucleotides. It is a transcript of the gene named homeobox protein 2-like, with no coding region annotated. The transcript has 5 exons. The record is from RefSeq and is a predicted model, not a curated record. NCBI's taxonomy places the organism in Eukaryota, Metazoa, Chordata, Actinopteri, Perciformes, Percidae.